CCUACGGGAGGCAGCAGUAGGGAAUCUUCCACAAUGGACGAAAGUCUGAUGGAGCAACGCCGCGUGAGCGAUGAAGGCCUUCGGGUCGUAAAGCUCUGUUGUUAGGGAAGAACAAGUACCGGAGUAACUGCCGGUACCUUGACGGUACCUAACCAGAAAGCCACGGCUAACUACGUGCCAGCAGCCGCGGUAAUACGUAGGUGGCAAGCGUUGUCCGGAAUUAUUGGGCGUAAAGCGCGCGCAGGCGGUCCUUUAAGUCUGAUGUGAAAGCCCACGGCUCAACCGUGGAGGGUCAUUGGAAACUGGGGGACUUGAGUGCAGAAGAGGAAAGCGGAAUUCCACGUGUAGCGGUGAAAUGCGUAGAGAUGUGGAGGAACACCUGUGGCGAAGGCGGCUCUCUGGUCUGUAACUGACGCUGAGGCGCGAAAGCGUGGGGAGCGAACGGGAUUAGAUACCCCGGUAGUCCACGCUGUAAACGAUGGAUGCUAGGUGUGGGUGGUAUUGACCCCAUCCGUGCCGUAGCUAACGCGUUAAGCAUCCCGCCUGGGGACUACGGCCGCAAGGUUAAAACUCAAAGGAAUUGACGG
Molecule: ribosomal RNA, 587 nt
Filed under: uncultured bacterium
Lineage: Bacteria
Description: bacterial SSU rRNA
Rfam family: Bacterial small subunit ribosomal RNA
Source: RNAcentral